This 471-nucleotide ribosomal RNA is filed under the name Citrobacter braakii. Its description in RNAcentral is "bacterial SSU rRNA". It matches the Rfam family "Bacterial small subunit ribosomal RNA", at positions 1 to 468 of the family's 1533-position model. RNAcentral also lists the same sequence under 1 other name. Lineage: Bacteria; Pseudomonadati; Pseudomonadota; Gammaproteobacteria; Enterobacterales; Enterobacteriaceae. The record is from RNAcentral.
AAAUUGAAGAGUUUGAUCAUGGCUCAGAUUGAACGCUGGCGGCAGGCCUAACACAUGCAAGUCGAACGGUAGCACAGAGGAGCUUGCUCCUUGGGUGACGAGUGGCGGACGGGUGAGUAAUGUCUGGGAAACUGCCCGAUGGAGGGGGAUAACUACUGGAAACGGUAGCUAAUACCGCAUAACGUCGCAAGACCAAAGAGGGGGACCUUCGGGCCUCUUGCCAUCGGAUGUGCCCAGAUGGGAUUAGCUAGUAGGUGGGGUAACGGCUCACCUAGGCGACGAUCCCUAGCUGGUCUGAGAGGAUGACCAGCCACACUGGAACUGAGACACGGUCCAGACUCCUACGGGAGGCAGCAGUGGGGAAUAUUGCACAAUGGGCGCAAGCCUGAUGCAGCCAUGCCGCGUGUAUGAAGAAGGCCUUCGGGUUGUAAAGUACUUUCAGCGAGGAGGAAGGUGUUGUGGUUAAUAACC